CAGGGAGACAACAAAAUGUUUAAUAUUAUUAUUUUGUCACCUUAGGUCGAUCGGUAUCUCACGUUCUUAAUUUAUUAAGAAUUUCAUUUCCUAAGUUUUUCUAGGUCACACCCAUUAUUUUUCCUGGGCCAUUAGCUCAGGUGGUUAGAGCGCACCCCUGAUAAGGGUGAGGUCCCUGGUUCAAGUCCAGGAUGGCCCAUAUCUCUAUGUUGGGGGUAUAGCUCAGUUGGUAGAGCGCCUGCUUUGCAAGCAGGAUGUCAGCGGUUCGAGUCCGCUUACCUCCACUGAUUACCACCUCUUCCAUAACCGGUAGAAAGGAAAUUUUUUGAGUUGUGAUCAAAUUCUGAAAGAAUCUAGCUUCCUAAUGAAAUCAUUAAGAUGCUGGACUCAUUGAAUUAAUUUCAUUGUUUUCAGAGAACCUUGACAACUGCAUAGAUUAUUUUUAAAGACAAUAAGCAUCUUUAAUGAUGCAGAUUUAUUAUUUGUGCGAAUGCAUUAAUAACAAUUCUAUUAAGCUGAUGCUUCAAUUAUGAAGUUAUU
RNAcentral lists this transfer RNA (540 nucleotides) under uncultured cyanobacterium. Its description in RNAcentral is "partial 16S-23S ribosomal RNA intergenic spacer". The stretch from base 212 to 284 matches the Rfam family "tRNA". Lineage: Bacteria; Bacillati; Cyanobacteriota. The record is from RNAcentral.